RNAcentral lists this long non-coding RNA (18248 nucleotides) under Homo sapiens (human). Its description in RNAcentral is "HSALNT0122904". Lineage: Eukaryota; Metazoa; Chordata; Mammalia; Primates; Hominidae. The record is from RNAcentral.
GAACUUCCAGCUUCUGCUGAUGGUGUAGGCAUCUGGAAAAUGUGUCUUUAUUAAAAUUACAUUUAAAAACGAGUGAUAUUCAGGGUCAUGACUUUCUGAACCCAUCAGAGAGCUGAAUUGCAGGGCAAUUAAAUAGUUUAAAAUGAAGGAAAGAGAGGUGCCUCCUACAAUAACAGAGAUGGGCUGCAAACAUUGGAUGACCUGUGGCAGAGCACGGAAAGAAGGCAAGGAUGACAGCUACAUGCAGACAAGGUCUCCAGAUUUGCCACCCAUGCUGAGUGCCGUGGUGUGAUCAUGGCUUAUUUCAACCUCAACCUCCCCCACUCAAGCGAUCCUCCUGCCUCAGCCUCUGGAGUAGCUGGGACUACAGGCACGCACCACCACACCCAGCCAUAAUUUGCCUCUUGCUGUAACUAAAAGGUCACAAAAACAAAGAAUUCUAAAAAAUCUUCUUCUUAAGUGGUAUGUUUAGUAUUUAUCAUGAUGACAAUGUUCUAAAUUGCACCUGCCUCCACUAGCAGAAUGCCAGGAUUACUGCCAGACAGAGAAUUCGGACUGCUGGUCCAGGGACAUAGCUAUGAAAUGCACCAAGGACAGCAGAGUGUGUUUUGGAGAAAGCCAGGUAGCUCUUGAUAGGGCCUAUAUGAGUACUUAUUCCUGCUGAUAGGAAAAAAAUGAUUAGAAAAAUCUCAUUUCUUUAUUCAUUUCUACUCUGAGAGCUUUUUACUUCUAGAAACACGGUCUUAGUUUUCUGUGUUAUUAUGUUUUUUUUUUGAAACUGACAAAAUUUCACAAUUAAUUUAUGUUCAUUCAAAUGUUUAAUAAUUAUACCUUGAAUUUGUCUUAUAAUUAGUAUUUUCUUGUUAUUUCCAACAAGAGAAAGUGUGCAGGAAAAGGGACUAGAUCAGGUUGAGAGAGCCAGGGGUGUUCAGUCAAGCAGGCAGAACUCAGGACACUGAACGGGGUGAGUAUGAGGCAGCCAGAGUCCCCAGACCCGCAGAGGAGGGUCCAAAGGACAGCUUUUCAUGAUCCAGGAAGGAAAUCUCCUUCAAUAACGUCUCUCCUUCAAGAAGCUGGGGGUGUCGCUGGGAUUUAACGUAGAGAUUCCAGUCUUAGAUUGAGGGAAGGAAGGGAGGCAAAAGGAAGGAAGCCUCGCAUCCUCAUGCGAAGAAGCCAGCUUGUAGAAAUGAAGCUCAAAAUGAUCCCUACAGCACAAGCAGUCCAGGGCAUGUGGACUCCUGCUGGGUUGGGGCCAGGACAGGAGAAGAAAGUUUGAUACAGGCCUGAGGCUCGGGAGCCCUGCACUGGCUGUGCGUCUCUACAACCAUCCCAGAGUCGGCCCAGGUACCAGGUCUUCUGGCUCAGAUAAAGAUCACACAUGACUCGCCUGAAAACUUGAGGCAGAGGUGUGCCAUUGUCACAAAAGGCGCUGUCAGGGUGGAGGCUCAGGGAAUGAUAGAGGAGCUCUUGAAUCACCCUGGAGAAAUUUUACCUCGGUCAGACAGCUACAGAGCCGACUUAAUAUUUUUAUUUAAAAUCUAGAUUAUUUGGGGGCUGGUUUGGAAAUGGGGGAGAUCUGUGAGUCCAGGCAUGGUAGCAGGAAGAGAAGAGGCUUCCUUGUAACCCUACUGACUCUUCCUCUCACUUGUCCCAAAAGCACAGGGUGAGAGACAAGAACAUUGGUACAGUGCGUUCAGGAAACUUUUCAACUUUUUAUGUGUAGUGUACCAAAAUAUUUUUUCACACAUGCAAAGACAGUGGUCAGGGGCUAUUCUGGCUUGUUAGAAAAAAGGAUGUGACGUUUUCCAGUCCCUGGGUGGGUCUCAGUUCUCUUAGAGGCUCUGCCUCUCACUCACACCUCUGCUAGAGGAAUGCGAGGAAGCUCUGACAAGAUUGUGAUCUGGGGACACGUUUGCCACCUCAGCGCCAAGGCUGACGUGGGGACAUGGGCUACUCAGUGAACGCACUUUACCCAGGAUACCAAGGGCACUUAAUGAUACCGACAGUUCUGUUUACAUCCUUCUCCACUGCCUCCAGCAUCAUUCAAGGCGUAAUCUCUUGGAAAAGUUUGAUUAGAAUGAAUUCUAGUUUGGCGUAGGUUAUUAUGCACCUAAAUUGGCUAAACUUAGCUUCAUAUAUCAAACAUAAGAUAUACAUCUCUAGAGAUGCGUCUGUGGAGACCUCCAUAGGCACCAGUAUAUAUUAUUCUAAGUUUUACCUCUUUUCUUGUGGAUUACUAACUUUGUGGUUCUCCCUUGAUUAGGUUUAUAUGCAAUUUUCUUAGAAAAUGUCAACUCCAAUUCUGCAACAUACUGAGCCCCUUUAUUGGAAACUUCAAAGUUCCUAGUCCAAUCCUAAUUCUAGAUCUUACUUCAUAUGUUGCUUUUAUCUUCUCUUGGGUAAUGGGUCAUUUCAAGGGUGAUUUUUUUGACUUUAUCUUAUUGGGGAUAUAAGUGCAGAUAAAGGAGAUACAGACGAGCAUUUAAUUUUUUUUUUCAGUGCAGUGAUUAUGGAGUCAGGGUAGUAUUUCUGCUGUGUAUGGUAAACUCCAUAGGAUCUCAUUUAUUCAUGGUUAAAGGCUUUCCUGGGGAAACCAGUAUGCUAACUUCAGGCAGAUAAUAAAACCUGAGGUAUAUGGAGAGUGUCUACUUUGACACAUUCAGGGCUAGCCCUCUCCUGCUGGUGCAGUUCAAUGUGAAUUUAGUCAUUUGUGGUCACUUAACAGCAAAGAGAUCUUUCUACAGAGUCUAGCUGUGCUGAUUAUCAAACUGGGGAAAAUUGAUGGCCAUUUGUUAUGGCUAAUAACACAGGUGCCGGUCAACUUUAUAAAAAUGUAGAAAAGUAUUUGCGGUGAAAAUUAUCCUAACCAUUGUGGAAAAAUGCCCAUCCCACUUCAAUUCAUAGCUGAAUACAUAUAGGAACUACAGUUCUCAGACCUGCAGUGAGUUCUGACCAAUGGAAUUCAGUGGGAUGAUAGAUGCUGCCUUUGAAGCCACCCCAUCAACUGGCUCAUCUCCUCCUGUCUCAGCUCUUUCUCCUGCUGCAUCCUGAUGCAGGACCACUGCACAACCUCACAAACCUUAUGUGGAAAGUAGUGGAGCCACCAGAUGUUAUGGGUAUCCUUUAAUGGAGAACUUUACACUACUUUGAAAUGACAGUUUUAUACUUUUCAUAAGAAAGAAAUAAACUUCCAUUGUACUAAGCCACUGUGUUUUGGGCUUUGUUGGUUAAAUGGUGAGCAAUAUCCUAACGAUUGCACUGAAACACCACUUCUCCACCAUGGGAGCAAUGGAACUUAGAAUUGUAGAGUGAACAAGGUGGAUGACAAGGAAAAUAAUGGGAGCAGGCAUUUUAUAUAUACAAUUAUGGAAAGCACACCAGAGUCUUCUUUCUUUUAAUGUAGCUGCUAUGCUCCUCGGAUCUUCCAGUUAGAAAUGUGUUCUAGGAGAUACUCAGAACUGAUCUUCGAGGUAGAUUGACUCUAGGUGGGUUAAGGUCUGUGACUACUGUGUUCACUCAGCAUGCUGGGGCUCUGAGGCAGAAUUAAAUAAAAAUAAUCACCAUUACUCCUAGAUGGCAUGUCUAAUGUGCCUAAAUUUAGGAUAAAUGGCUAACUGUACAUACACACACACACACACACACACACACACACACACACACAGAGGCACACUUAUGUAGCAUGUCAGUUAUAUAAUACAAGAUAUUUCACUAACCAGAAAAUAAACAAAAGAAGCCAAAAUGUGACUCAUUCCUGGUGGUUCCCGGGAUGGCUUUAUAGUUAUGACCCAGACUGGGUAACCUGUUGUCAGCAAUCAGAAUGUGGUAUUAAUUAGAAGUACUAAGCUGAGGGAUUACCAGCCCCCGGGCCAGAAGCAGAAUCUAUAAUAUUUAAACAACAAUAUGUGAGUAGUGUAAGUAUUAGCUCAAAAAUCAUUUGUUUUUAGAAAAAGGAAAUUAGGAAUUGCCUGCCUGUGUUACAAUUUUAAUGUCGUGAUUCCUUUUGUCCAGCUGAUGCUGUGUCUGCUGAUGUGGCAGCACCUUGCCUGGGCUGUUGUGAUGGCUCAUUCGUUCCUCAGCAGUUUCAAAGUGGCUAAUGAAAUUCAGGCAACCUCCCCUCAGAGUUUCUUGGUCCACCAGUUCUUCUAGUUUUUGUUGUUUUGUUUUAUUUUGAUUUGCUUUUACAUUUCCUUACAUUUAUUAUGGAUGAAUAGCAAUUAAGAUCUUCAAGGACAGAGUGGGAAAAAUAAAAUUUAUUGUUUUCUAAUGUUCAAGGAUUUUAAAUAAAUUGUUUUGGGAGCUGUAGAAUAAGAAUUUUAAUAACCCUAUGGUCGUUGUUAUAAUGCUAAAGAUAAUUUAAACUUGUACAAUAGAUACAUAUUUGGUACUUUCUAAUACAUUAUUACUGUAUCAUCCAUCAUAGAUUGAUUUCUAGUGUAAAUAGAAUGUAAUUCUGUUUAGGUAUGGAACAAAUUACUUCCGCCAUAAUGGUAUAAAUAAUUGUGAGAGAAAUUGAUUUAUAAGAAAGAAGUGUGAUCCUAGAAUCCAAAUAUAUUAGUGCAAGAAUUUACAGGUAUUCUAAAAUAGUUUCUUUACCCUAUAGGUGAAAUCUCAAAUCUGGUUUCAGAUUCCUCAGCAAUGUUUCUUGAUCUUAUCUAUCCAAAAAUACAUCAUUAGUUACCAGUACUUCUUUUGCAUUCUAGUCCAUUAUUCUCACGGAGCAUUUCAGGACUAUUUUCAAAUUUUAAUUUAACUUUCUUCCACCAACCAUAAAAUAUCCUUACUGCUAUCUCAAUCAAUUAAUCUUCCUAGCCCCUUCUUAUCUCUAUUUAUUUUUAUAAAACAUGUAUAGCUGCAACCACACAAAUACAACAACAAAAAAUGCGGACAUUUAUUUUAGCAAAAUUUACAUAUAAAUAUUGUUAACAUAAAAUGUGAUUUAGACAGAAAAAGACCACCCAAUUUUUUAUUUGAUCCUAUUGGCAUUAUGGAUUAGGAUUUAUAGUGAAAUUUAUGCUGAAUGAAAAUGAUUUAAGUUCUGAAAAUGUCACAUGAAAAAAUAAUAACCUAUUCAUUGAACAUGAGUAGGUACUAUUGUAUAUGCAUAUGUAUACGUAUACGUAUACGUAUAUGUAUAUAAGCCUGUGUGAAUAUUUGUAGCAACUUGGUUCAUAAUUACUAAAAAAUAAGAUAUCCUCCUUACCUUUUUAAUAUCUGUAGGACAUGUAGUUAUAGUUUCUUUUUCAAUCCUGAUAUUGGUAAUUUGUGUUUUCUCCUUUUCUUUUUCUUGUUCUGCCUCACUAAAAUUAUUGGUUUAAUUAAUUUUUAAGAAAAUCACUUUUAGCUUUUUUUUCUUUUUAUGUUUAACAGCUUUAUUGAGAUAUAAUUCAUAUACCAUAAAGCUCACCCACUGUAAGUCUACCACUUGUCUUAGUCCACUUGGGCUGCUAUAACAACAAUUCCAGAAACUGGCUGGUUUGUAAAGAACAUAAAUUUAUUUAUUACAGUUCUAGAAGCUGGGAAGUUCAAGACGGAAUGAAUUAACAGCCUGUCAUAUACCCAUACAAUGGAAUACUUAGUAUUCAAAAAGAAAAAGAAAAAUACUAUCAAUUUACACAACAAUUUGAAUGAAUUUUAAAUGCAUUUUGUUAGGUGAAACAAUCUAAACCCAGAAGGCCACAUAUAGCAUGAUUUCAUUUGUAUGACAAUAAGAAAAAAAUCAAAAUGAUAGAGGCAGAAUAUAAUUCAGCGGUUAGUGAGAAUAAAGGGAUUAAUUCUAAAGAAAAUGUUUAUAAUAAAAACACUGUUCUGUAUGAUAUAAUGGUGCUUGAUAAAAACUACAUUUGUUUGUCAAAACCAAUAGAAAUGUACAUUAUACAUUUUACUGUGUACAAUUUUUUAAAAAGCAGGAUGUCAGUGGAUCCAAGAAUAAAAUGUACUCUGCAAAAAAUUAGCCUAAAUGCAUUAAAUAUGUCACUUAAGAGGGCGUAGAGAAAGGAAGUGACCUAAAUUCCUUUGGAAAACAGUAUCUCCAGUGAACACCAGGAAGCUAAGAAUAAAAGAAACUGUACAAAAACAUUGUACCCUAGUUGGCAAACUUUCUUCUUACAGGGAUAUAUGUUGCCAAUUCUGAAACUAUUUUACACAUAUACUAGAGUUGAAGAAAUAAGGAAAUAAAUCAUAAAUAACAGGGGCUAGGAUUCUCACUUUCAGAAGAAGAAGUUACUCAUAAACAUCAUGGACAAAUAAAAUCAAUCCUAUGGUGCUGAAUUAGCUUUGGAAGUAUCAGUAUAAGCUCAUUUAUCUUAAUGUAUAUUUAGAUAACACACAAAUAAAUACAAAUAUGAAUGUAUACCUGGGCUGCUAUACAUACCUGUAUCUCUUAGCUCUGUUUGCCAAGAGUGCCUAGAAGCAGUGAGCCCCCAGCAGCAAUGAACACGCCUAGUGCCCGGAUUUUGGUUUCUAAAUGCCACCCUCCAAUUAAAAGAAACAGAAAUUUUGGAAGAAGAGCUGAUUUUAGAGUUGGGAUGAUAAAUACACGAUGAGCUUGUAGUAUCUUGUUAUGUCAGAAAGUAAGAUGUGCUUUGUUUCUACCAAAGAAAGAAAGAAAGAAAAAAGAUAGAGGCAUUUCUAAAGGACACAGAAGAUAACCUAAAAAAAUCCCUCAAUGUACAAAUCUAGAAUUUGAAUUUGAAUAAUAAUAAUAAUGGUAUUGUUGUAGAGAUCUCAAAGAAUGAAAUAUUCAUUUCAAAGAAUGAAAGUUCAUAUUGCUGUAAAUAAGUGAUUAAAUAAAUAUAUUGGCAAAAGACACAAUUCUUUACAGGAAAAUUCAAAUAAAAUAUGAAAAUAACUUCCUUCCAAACACCAUGAGGUGUAGCUUAAUUCCUCUUUCCUGGAGUGUGAGUUUGACUUAGUGAUUCUCUUUUCAAGGACAUAGUCUGGAAAGUUAGGAUAGUAACUUUAUGCCAGACAAUGCCUUAAUCAAGUGACCAAGGUGAAUGCUGUGUGAUAAGUCAUGCUGUGUUGGUGUCACAUAUUCUCACAUUUUAUGUGAUAGAGACACUUCAUCUCUAUGAUGCUCUGAAAAACAACCUAUAGCUCCAAUAUAGCCAUGAUAAAACUUCAGAGACUCAAACUGAGGGACAUUCUACAAAAUGCCUGAACCAUACUCUUCAAAAUUCUCAAGGUUAUGUAAACAGGAAGAUUGAGAAAUUUUCACAGACUGGAAACUAAGGAGACAUGACGAUUGAAUUCAAUGCAGUCUCUUAAGUCAGAUCCUGGAGAAAUAAAAGGAUAUUAAUCGGGAAGCUCAUAAAAUCUAAAGAUGCUGUUUAGGUAAUAGUAUUAUGCCAAUGGUAAUUUUUUAAUUUUGCAUUAAUUUAAUAAUUUUGGAUUACAGUUGUGUAAAAUGUUAACAUUAGGGGAAGCUAAGGGAACGUCCCUGGGAACUCUUCAUACUAUCUUUGCAAUUCUUCAGUGAAUCUAGCAUUAUUCAAAAAUUUUUUAAAAGUUUAAAAUGUCUGAAAAGUAUAUUUCUUAUAUAUCAAGUACAACAUGUUUAUAAUUUGAGAAACUUUAAAUAUAUGUCAUGGAAAUGACCUGAGAUGAUUAUCACCCUGCAUGUUCAGGGCUUCAAUGUGAGUUUAGUUUAUGCAUUAAGUCCUCUAAAGAAAGCAACUAUAAAUAUUAAUCAGAACUCUUCUCUGACCUAUAUCAUAAUUUAAUAUAACAUUCUACAUUUAGAAGGGAACUUAAAUAAAAUCUUUUCAAAUUCCUUAUACAAUAUUGUAAAGAUCUCUUUCAAUGCUUACAGACACAGGCAUGUGUCAUUAUCCAACACUCGGUUCAGAAAAUCUUUUUAUUGAGCUAACACAAAUAUGAAUUUCAUUUUUAUCCACUAUGUCACUCUAAGCUUCUUAUUUUGACAGAAAAUAAAUCAAUUAAAUAGCUGUAGCACUUGUAUGUGCACAUCACAAGGGUAAAUAAUCCCAAGCAUUUUUUGUUUGUUUCAAGAACCCUUGUCACUCUUUAAACUGCAUUUAAAAAUCUUUAUGUAUUCCUCACAGUGUCUUACAAUUGGAACGAAAUGUAUUAUACCCAUUGUUGUUUGAUUGAUCAAGAUUUAAGAGGAACCAGAGAGCUCUUAUCUACAUAUUUUCAUUCUGUACCAUAACCUAAAUUACCAUAAGCUCAUCACACUAUUGAAAAAUAUUGAUGUUGUAUACUCAAAUUACUUCCACCUAUAUUUCCUAUAAGUAUUUUGAUCCCACACUUUUGAAUUAGUUUUUCCUAGAAUGAAUAAAGCUUUUUAGUUAUUGUCAUUAUACGAUUCAUCUUAUUGUUUUGCCUUUCAAAAUUAUUUUGAAUAAUUAUAUUCCAUUUGUUUCAUAAUCUUAAAGAUAGAAUGUUAUCAAUGCCCUCAGCUGAAUCAUAGAUAAUAAUAACUGUGGGUGAAGGACAGAAUUACAAAAUACAACUUGUGCGAUUCUCCUCCAUGUUAAAGUCUACUGUCUUGGAAUUUACUAAGAAUGAACCAGUCUAACAGUGUAUGUAGCAUACAUGCUUCCAUUUUUUUCAUUAACUUAAGAGAAAUAGUAUUCAAUCCUUUGGUGAAAUUCGAUGUCUACCAAAUGUGUGUCUGUCUAGUACUGAUUACAAGAUUAUAAAAAUAUAAGUUAAAUGUACUCUGUGUUAGAGAAUAGAUGUUUGUCCCUAGUGAUGGAAAGUGCUUGUGUGUGUGUGUGUGUGUGUGUGUGUGUGUGUGUGUGAAUAUAUUUUAAUAACCAAAGCUAGAUAUUGGGCAUGAUUACAUCAGAGUGACUGGUAUAGAUCUAUAGAAUCUAUGCAAUCUACCUUCUGUCUUUCCAAAGAUAUAACAACUAAUUUUGUCCUUUUUAGACUAAAACUUUAUUUCACAUAAUCUAUUAUUUUUCAAGAUCAUUGACAUUGUUUUAGAAAUAUAUUUUUGUGUCAUUAUUUUCUUAUAAACUUUAUAAAACACACUGAAGAGUCUUAGAUUAUUUUCAAAAUGAACAUAUAGGCAUCUUAAAGACAAUAAAAUUUAUAAAUAUUGAUGUAUAGAAAUUAGAUUAUAUGGAUAUAUCUGUUAUAUACAAUUAUUAUGUCUGUUAUAUACAGAUUAUUGUUAUGAUCUGAGUUGUCUUGCCAAAGUUUAUAUGUUGAAGACCUAAACCUUGGUAUCUCUCAAUGAAACUGUAUUUGGACAUAAGAUGUUUAAAGACAUAGGUAAGUUAAAAUGGAGUCAUUAAAUGGGGUUAAAAUGGGGCCCUAAUCCAAUAUGACUUUUAACAAGAGAAGAUUAGCACAUACACACACACAGAGGGAAGAUCAUAUGAAGAUACAGAAAGAUGAUUCCCAUGUUCAAGCAAAGGACAGAGGCCUCUGCUUGAAUAAUCAUCAUCAUCAUCUCAGAGUUCUAGCCUCUGGAAUUGUGAGAAAACUAAUUUCUUUUGUUAAAGCCACACAAUCUGUUGUUUGGGCAUAGCUUUGUUAUGGCCAGCCCUAGUAAACUCAUAAAUAUAUAACUAAAGAUUAUUUAGUUCUCAUUUUACAAAGAUGGCAAUUUUUUUUCAACUUUUAUUUUAGGUUCGGGGUACAUGUGCAAGGUUCGUUACAUGGGCAUAUUGUGUCUCACUGAGGUUUGGUGUACAAAUGAUCCUGCCACCCAGGUAGUGAGGAUAGUAACUGAUAGGCAGUUUUUCAACCAUCCCCUCCUCCAUGUGAGUGUUUCCCAGCAGCUAUCAUUUCCAUCUUGUUGCCCAUGAGUACUCAAUGUUUAGCUCCCACUUACAAUUGAGAACAUGCAGUAUUCGGUUUUCUGUUCCUACUUAAAUUCACUUGGGAUAAUACACUCUAGCUGCAUCCAUGUUGUGCAAAUACAUGAUCUUGUUCUUUUUUAUGGCUGCAUAAUAUUUCAUGGUGUAUAUGUACUACAUUUUCUUUAUCCAGUCCACUGUUAAUGGGCAUCUAGGUUUAUUUCAUGUCUUUACUACUGUGAAUGUCUUUACUAUUAUGAUGAACAUAUGCACACAGGUGUCUUUUUGGUAGAAUGUUUUAUUUUCCUUUGGGUGUAUACCCAGUAAUGGGAUUGCUGAGUUGAAUGGUAGUUCAGUUGUAAGUUCUUUGAGAAAUCUCCAAACUAUUUUCCGCAGUGGUUGAACUAAUUUACAUUCCCACCAACAGUGUGUAAGUAUUCCCUUUUCUCCACAGCCUCAUCAGCACCUGCUGAUUUUUGACUUUUUAGUAAUAGCCAUUCUGACUGGGUGAGGAUGGUAUCUCAUGGUGCUUUUGAUUUCAAAGAAGGCAAAAGUUUUGCUGAGAAUUACCAUGCAUAUGUCGCAUACACGUUUUAGUAAAAUAGCAAGCACAUAUGCAUACACAUAAUAGCCUAUGGAGGCUGCUCAGACUACAUCUAAUACAAAUUUUCAGUUUUGCUUCAAUAAGGGUGAGAUCACGAACCACCCAGUGAUAUCAGGAAAGAGCCCCUGCACUGCAUCCAGCUGGGUCAGCACUCCUGCCCUGACCGCGUUCAGUUUGCGCCAGUGGCUCCCUGCUGGAGGUCCCUAUUACUAAUCAGAGGCAUGAGCAUUUGAAAGCACUUUCUCAAUGUAGCUUUUAAAAAUGGAUUUUUUUAUUGGCUUUAUUUCCUACAUAUUUUGCAAAAUGCUUGCUAUAUACUGUUUCCUCAUUUUACGUGAUGAAAGUAAGAGAAUGAUUUUCUUGUUUUCUCUAACCUCUGUAUUUUGAUUUUGUAUUUAACUCUUCCUCAUUUUCCCACCUUCAUUCUCUGUCUUUAUCAAUGUUUUAAUGCUGCAGUGGUGCGACGAUUAUUUAAUAUCACUUUUGUGGAAUAAUUUUGUGUUUGAAGUCAUCAAUAUCAAGACAUAUCAUUGUGACAUCAAUGGUCAGUCAAAGAUUCCUAAGAACUUGACUACCCAACCUUGUGACAAAUUUGACGACUUCUCCUUUUCAAAUAUUGCCUAAUACUCAUAAACAUUUUGUUAUUUUUUUAUAUCAAAGGUGGACGUAAAAUAACAAGCAUGUCUGCUAUUUUCAUUUACAGAUUCUUUUCCUUGUAGAUGAAAGAGAUAGUUGGUUCCUCAGACUAGCAUAAGGCUGUCUUCUGAUCAUUGGCAAAUACUAAGCACCAACUUUUUAUUACCCUGAGUCACCUUUGAAUAGUAUCUUGGCUAUAAUCAUGAACUAGAUGCUAUUUCUACAUAAAGCUAAAGUAAAAAACACUUAUUUAAAAAUCUAUAGGUGAUGUACUGCGGAGUGCAUAAUUGUUUAAAGCAGCAUAGUAAAAAAGAGCUCUUUUAUCUGCUAAUGGGUAAAAAAUGGGUUGGUGAAAGUUGCUCUAGCAUCCCUGGAAACCAGUAGUUCUCAGUGCCAGAAACAAUGCAUUAACUUUUAACGUAAACUAUUUUGGAGUCCUUUGAGAACUCUAAGAACUGCUAUAUAGCCGUUGGAGUAUAUAUAUAUAUAUAUAUGGCAGUUCUUGGAGUUCUCAGAGAGAGAGAGAGAGAGAGAGAGUGUGUGUGUGUGUGUGUGUGUGUGUGUGUGUAUGUGUAUAGCGGUUCUUUGAGAGCUCAAAUAUAUAGAGAGAAUAUAUAUAUAUAUAAAUAACAGUUGGAGUAUAUAUAUACUCACAUAUAAUAUAUAUAUUCUAUAUAGAGAGAAUUACAUUAUCAUAUGUAAGCAUAAGCACAUAUUAUAUAUAAUUACAUAAGUUAUAGACAUAUAUACAUAUAAUUAUAUAUUCUCUAAAGUUAUAUAUUAUAAUAUAUAAAACUUUCAUUAGAAUCAUUACUAUAACUUACCUGAACAAAUAUGACAUGUGUGACUGAAAAUGGUUCACCUCCCUGGCAAAUGUGGCACACAUGAUGGACAGCGGGAGAAUAGAACUCCACUGUCUCUCAGCUGUGAUCUAUCCUGCCUCUUUGUAAUCUUGACAUUAACCUUAAUUGCUAAAUUGGGGGAAAAAACAAAUGGCACUUCAGGUUAUCCUCUCUUUGGGAGUCUUCCACCCAAAAAGGAGGCUUCAAAUAUCAAUUGGCUGAUAUACUCUAAUGGCUGCUAUUUCCUAAGCAGAUGCCACUGAAUUUCAUAUAAUUACCCUGACUCUACUAUCCAUAAUGAUUUUUAAGCCACUGAUUUUGAGCUAUCCAUUUUGAUUUUGAUGGAAGUGAGCUCAUCUUGAAAGGGAUGUUGACAAGCAAUAGAAUAGGAGAGCUCUUUUAUCCACAUAUACUAAAUAAAUCACUGGAGUUGAACUUGAGCUGAACUGUAACGAAUGUUCACCUGAUUCUGAAAUGAGCUAUAUUGAAUCAUGAUGCCACAGAAUCACAACUUCUACAAGAAUCUCAGCUCUCUGACGUCAGUGUGUUGUCCCGCAGCUCUAGGCACCUGCUGAGGUAGGCUUGGGAAAGAGGACUAGUGCAGAAUCAUGGACCCAUUUCACCCACUACAUGAAGCCAUCCCAAUGAGAAUAACAUUCCUGAAAGGAACCCUCUUGGAUGUAUCUGGGCCAGGCACUGGAAUGAUGUUUUGAAUAAUUAUGAAAAUGCAAUUUUGUUUUUUUUCUAAAAGAGUUGUUUCUAAUCCUUUUUUGUAUUUAAGGUAGUAAACAUAAAAUUUAUAUCUGCGUUUUCUAUUCUCUUAGAUAUUAAAUUCAUUGGUGGCAGAAACCAUACUAUUUCAAAGAAAAAGUGCCCCCCGAGGCAAGGCUUUUGUGGCGGAGGAGUUGUUGGGCAUGGUAGUUGGGUUCUUCCUGCGAGCCACGGUUGCAUGCUGAAAUUUGUAGACAAAACUCAAAUGUCUGUCAAGCAUGCUCAUAAUUAUAUUUUAAGUGCCUCACUACCACAAAUUAUGCAGUCAAGUCUCCCAUAUUUGGGGACAUCGCAGGGGUCAGCAUGUCCAGAGUGCAAUGGAUAAGCCUUGCCCUGGGAAAACCACCUUCGUGAUCAUGGUUAUCUCCCCUGCCAGGAUCUAACAUUGUGAUCGACACCAUCAUCCAGCCCAUCAUUCAAAUCUGAAACUUUGGAGAAGUAGUCAACAACUUCUCAUUCAGUUUCACCAUCCAAUCAGUCAUGGAAUCCUGAUGAUCUUUAACUUCCUCCACCUGGCCCAAAUAUCUCCUUUCCUCUCUCUUCCAAUUUUGUCUUUAUUCUCAUUGUUCUGUAAUUACACAAUUUUCCUACUGAUUUCUAGAAUGAAAAACUGCUGCAUUCAUUUCCAUUAUUAACAUUCUUCCACGUUUGUGUGUCUUUUGGGAUAACAACCAAGUAUUCUCAGAACAGCACUAUAAAGCAGUAUAAUGUCAAAGGGAUCUGAGAUCAAAGCUUUGUUCUAGAUAACAGACGAGAUUAGAUCUUGGCACUGUUAACACGAACAGAGGCUGAUGAAAGAGAAAUAAUCUGAGGAGGGUAUAAGGUUGCAAAGAAGGAAAAACAAUGCUAAAACGUUAAAGUAUAAAUAGCAGUACUAAUAAAGCCUACGAGGUGGUGGCCUAGCUCCAGAUAGUCUUUUGUUUAGCAGAAUACUUUGAUGGACCAGUUCUUUGAGGGAAAUUAUAUCGCAGAGCCUAAUCAAAAGAUGAAUAAAGAUAUUACUUUCCAGAAGCCAAGUUUUGAAUAGCUGGCCUUUGAGGGUGAGUGAUAAGCAGAGUAGAGAGGUUAAAUGGUGAGGUGAAUGCCAGGUGUGAUCCUGGGAGAUGAUUCAUGGACUCAUCCUGCAGAACCUCGAGAACACAGCCCUGUGAAUGUCCAGUAAAAGGUACAUGGGGGCACGUGGAUCUGGCAAUAUGAUUUUUCCCUACACAGAUUGACUUAGACCCUAAGAAGUAUGUUGCAGUACCAUUCAAGCAAUAGUUUUAGCUCUUUCAUUUAUCAACCCCCAAAAUAAUGAUCGGGCAGCUAAAGUGUGUACAGUUCUGUGCUGGAAGCUUUGAGAAAUGCCCAAAACAAUACGUUCAUGGAAUUUGUGGACUUGCUGACCAGGAGUUCUCUAUAACUUUUGUUAAAACCAACAAUCUAUGUUUCUACGUAUUUUCAGCCAUUCCCAUAUUUGAUUGACAAUAGAUAUUAUUACUAGAUGGUCAUGAGUUAGGUGUAACAUAGAAGAAAAAUGGAUUUCCAUGAAUAUGAGUGUAUUUCAUUAGUAAAAAAUAUUUAUUAAUGAUAAUAUUAAAGUGACAAAUAUAGUUUUACUACAUAAAUUGCCUGUAUAUACAAGUAAAAUACAUGCAUUAAUACUUUUCAGUAUAUUGUUUGAAAUAUGCUUCCUUUGCACAAAUGUUUUAAUCAAUUUGGUUAAUUUGACAGGUCUCGAAAUAUCAAGGAAUGGACAAUUUAGUUGAAAAUACCUUUAGAAAUUCAUAAAAACCAGCAAGAUGCUUUUGCCUAGUGUGCCAGAUUUUUCCAGUGCUGAAUUUUAAAAGGUUGUUAAGGUUGCUGUUAGAUGAAGUUUCCUCACACUAUCUAAAAAUAGAUUAUCUACAUAGCCUCUUCAAGUUCCGAACAUAUUAUUUUCCCCCAAGAACUUAGAGGACAAUCAAAUUCAAAUAAAAAUUUAAAAAGCACAUCAAAAAUCAUCUUGUUCACUGAUUCUCUUUGUUCCGAAUAAAGGACAUUCUUGUCUACUACUUUGGUAGGGAUUUUGAGAAUAGCCUCUGAAACACUUCUUUUCAGAGAGAAAUACACACACACACACACACACACACACACACCCCAGUAUACUCACCUGCCUUUUUGCAAUAUAUCUUGUGUUUUGCUUAUCCAUAGAGCUUUUCAUUUUAACAUCUCUGAAAUACAGAUAAGACACACAGUCAAGGGUGCCUGGCAAUCACUCUUGGCAGGGGUGCAUUUUCCAUAUAUGCUUAAAACUUCUGAGACCCAUGACCCAGGCUGUCCUCUUCCACGCUGUACUCCUAGGUAGGAACUGAAAAAGCUAUGUGGAUAAUAAGCAGGGCCAGCCCGGAAGGGUAGGCUGUCCUGUGCAAGAAGCCUGGCCUAUGGGGAGCACUGCUUUGCAUGGACCUCACCACACUCUGGGGCUCAGCCACAGAGGGGCAGUAUACCUGUUUUUCCCUCUAAUACAUACAACACAGCCUAUUGGAGCAUUUCUGUACUAGCCCCAAAUGUCAAAAAACAUCCUUUAAUCUCUUUAAUCUCUGAGCUUAAAUUUUGGUUUUACUUUAACUCUGUGAUCUUGGCAAGUUACAUAACCUUUUAGUCCAAAUGAUUGCUUAUCUGUAGAAUGGAAGUAGUCAUCCACUGUAUGGAUUUUUGUAAGAUUUUUGGUACAAUGCAGAUUAAAAUUUUUGCAUAGUGACUGGACCAUAGUAGGGGAUAAUAUAAGCCAACUAUUGUUAUCAUUUUUGUUGUUAGUUACCACCAUAAAAUCUAUUUUUAAUAAUUUCAAAAAUUAUAUUGAACAUUGUCUUUGAUAACAUCUGCUUUCAACACUUACGAUAUGUCUUCAAACUCACUAAUCAUAAAAGAUUUAACAUUCCAGAAGCCCAUCGGCCAGAUAUAUAAGUCUCUAAAAUAUACUUAAAAUAAUCUCCCCUCUAAUGAGCCAAGUAAGAGUAUUAGGAGUAUUGUGAUAAAGAAUUGGCAAAAAGAUUGAUAUCAAAGUGGAAGUUUUUAUUUGACUGCUCAAAUACAAUGAAGGAAUGAUUUAUUUCUUUGAUGUAAUAUGAAAAGUGGCCAGAGCCCUUUGAGGACAAUGAAGAACAAUGACCUCACCGAUGUACAUGCAGCCUAUUCCCCAGUAAUUAGACAAAUCAUCCAUUUUUGUUUACUUUGCCUCAUAUUUUGUGCUUUGACAUCAGAACUUGUUCCAUGUCCAAGUUUCCAGAUUUUUUUUCAAACUUUCAAAACUGAACAUUCAAUAUGUUUCUCCUGCGGUCUGUCCUAGCUGUCAUAGAGCACUUUACUCAUCACAUCAGCUGAAGAAGAUCACACCAUUGAUGAAAGCAAUAAUACAGCCAACAUUGUGCCAUAGAAAUAUUAAUCUGACUUCUGCUUAUUAGAUAUGCCAGAGGGCAGAAAUAAUGGAAACAAGUAUAUAAAUUGGAAUGCUAUUUCAAUAGUUUAGCUAAUAUAUAUUGGACUUGCUACCAUAAUGAAUAUGAUUGUUGAGAGAUGGGCACAGGUAUAAGAACUGAUCUCAGGAAUAAUAACUGAUAUUAAUUGAUUUGAUGAUGGAAAAGUAUAAAAUCUAGUAGUGAAGUUUGGAAAAUGAUACAGUUAAUAUAAAACACAAUUUAAAAUUGGGAACAGGUUUAAUAGGUCUGGAACAUUCUGGAUUUAUGUUCAAGUUAGCAUAGAAACGAAUAGGAAGUGAUUAAUAUUGAGACUAGUGCUUGAAAGAGAGAACAAAUAUGUAAGUUACUGGUAAAGAAUUUUCCACAUAGAGAGUGGUUCAGAAAAAGUAGCACAGCAUCAAAGAAAGAAGGUUGAAAACGUACUUUCUAAGACGUCUGGUGAAGGAGCUAAGAGGAAUACUCAAAAAGUGACAGAAACCUGGCUGUCCCAUGUCCCAUGUCAUGUAAAUCAAAGAAAGGGCAGAGUUCAAAAGAAAUAUUCCAGCAUUGGAGACUGUCAUAUAAUGAAGAUACAAUGCAGUAAACUGAGGAAUGGAAAAAGCCACUGGAUGUAUCUAAUAUGUUUACUACGGGUUUUCAAGAGAACAGUUUUUGUAGCCAGGAUCGAGCAAAAGCCUGGUUGAAAGGACAAAAGGUGUAAAACUGGAGAAGGAGGUGGAAAAUUAAAAGAAUUUGAAAGAGUUACAAAAAUGCCACCCUAAAAUAUGAUGCUUUGCUCUGCUGAUUACUUGGAACUGAGGGCACUUUGGAAACAGCAAACACAGGCAGUGCAGGCAGAGGCUUUCUCUGGGCUCUGCUCAUCUGUCCAAAGACGGGUCCUCCCAAAGGAACUCAACUGUCAUGAAUACCCUCCCUCGGCAUUCAACCAGGAAAGAUUAAAGGAUCACUGGAGAGAACAUUAGAAUUUCACCCCAUGCCCAUUCAAUCAUUUAUUCCUCCUAAAGCUGCAGAGACUGAAUCGGCAUAACAGGACAAUCUUUGUGCCCCAUACCUUUCCUCCCUUCACCCUUCUAUAACUUGUGUCACCACCACCCCCCAAGAACCCCACAAUUCUAUGCCUCUCAGCUCAGGAUGCUAUAUAAGCUUCAAUCAUCUGACCAUUCUUUGAGUCUCAUAUAUUAUGGGAUUCUCAUGUGUACAUAAUUAAAAUAUUUUCCGUAUUAAUCUGUCCCAUGGCAAUUUAAUUUUAGUCCAGUCAAAGAACUUAGGAAGGUAGAAGGAAGCUGUUUUUUACUCCCAUGCAUACCUCCAUAAUAGUAAAAGUAAUAUAUAUUAUAGAGCAAAAUACAAUAGAAAGAAAUCCUGAUAAAGAAUAAAGUCCAGAAUAAGAGCGAAAGUCAUGUUUUACAAAAGGAAAUACAUGAUAAAGUAAGAUCUACAGAGGUUGGAGAGAAUGCUGUUUAGUAAAUACAUUGUAGGUAACUUCUCAAAAUAAAAUCCUCAGAUAAAAAUGUAAAAAUUAAAUAAUCAAAUAUACAAUUUUUAUCAUUUAAAUUAAAUACAAUUAUUGAUAUAGUUACAUUUAAACCCAUCAUCUUACUAUAUAUUUAUUUUCUAUUUUUUCAUUUUACUUCCAUUGUCCCACAUGUUCUGGGUUUUUAAUUUUCUAUUUUCUUCCUUCUUUUGAUUAAUUAAUUGCUUUUUGUAAUUCAGUUAAAAUGUGCUGGCUUAUUAGCUGCAACUCUUCACCAUUUUAGCAUUUGCUGUAGUGUCUAGAGCAUACAUCUUUAACUUUUCAGAGUCUACCACAGUCUUUCAUGUUAUAUCCCAACAAUUCCUAUAGUAUAAGAAACUUACAAUUAUGUACUUCCCAUUUUUUAAUCUACAUUCUUUGUGCUAUUUUUUCAUGUAUUAUACUUUUACCCAACAUACACACAAUAUAUACACUUAUAUCUAUAUAUAUUUGUACAUACAUAUACAUUUAGAUGUGCUAUAAACGUUACAAUAUAUUGUUAUUAAUUAUACUUACAUUCAAUUUUAUCUUAAAAAUUUUAAAUAUGGCAAAUUGUGUAUAUUUGCUCAGGUAGUUCAUAUUUCCAGUGUUUUGCAUUGUUUUUUCUGUAUUCUUAUUUCAAUUUUAUACAUUUUCCUUCUCUCUACAAGAUUUUCUUUCAUACUUCAG